CGGCCAGACUCCUACGGGAGGCAGCAGUGGGGGAUAUUGCACAAUGGGGGGAACCCCGAUGCAGCGACGCCGCGUGGGUGAAGGAGCGUUUCGGCGCGUAAAGCCCUAUCGGCAGGGAAGAAGAUAACGGUACCUGACCAAGAAGCCCCGGCUAACUACGUGCCAGCAGCCGCGGGAAUACGUAGGGGGCGAGCGUUAUCCGGAUUGACUGGGUGUAAAGGGAGCGUAGACGGCCAUGCAAGCCAGGGGUGAAAGCCCGGGGCCCAACCCCGGGACUGCAUUUGGAACUGCGUGGCUUGAGUGUCGGAGAGGCAGGCGGAAUUCCUAGUGUAGCGGUGAAAUGCGUAGAUAUUAGGAGGAGCACCAGUGGCGAAGGCGGCCUGCUGGACGAUGACUGACGUUGAGGCUCGAAAGCGUGGGGAGCAAACAGGAUUAGAUACCCUUGUACU
This 449-nucleotide ribosomal RNA is filed under the name uncultured bacterium. RNAcentral's name for it is "bacterial SSU rRNA". It matches the Rfam family "Bacterial small subunit ribosomal RNA", at positions 328 to 794 of the family's 1533-position model. The record is from RNAcentral.